CCCGCCUUGCAUCAACUG
This 18-nucleotide microRNA is filed under the name Prunus persica (peach). RNAcentral's name for it is "microRNA miRNA_364". The record is from RNAcentral. Lineage: Eukaryota; Viridiplantae; Streptophyta; Magnoliopsida; Rosales; Rosaceae.